GAUUUUUUUCCGGGUUUGGGUCGGUUCGAUUUGCAGGGUAUAAAGAAGCAGAUGGAGGGGCAGGUGCGGAGGUUUGAUGGGAUAUUUGAGCAGAUGAUUGAUCAACGGCUGCUGAAGAUGAAGGAGGAAGGCGCGAAAGAGAGUCAAGAUUUUUUGACUUCUUUGUUGAAAUUGAAAGAGGAGGGAGGAGAUUCGAAGACGCCUCUGACCAUGACUCACAUCAAAGCUCUGCUCAUGGUAUGUGAACUACUAUUCUUCAAAACUUGAUUUCCAUACAAAAGCCAAAUGCCCAGAUGAUUCAAUUCAAACCUUUGGACCAACCAUACUAACGAACAAAAAAAAACUUUGGACCCAAAUUAAUCAACCUCACUAAUCUAGAUACAUUGAGAACUCUAAGUAUUCCAAAUAAAUGAAAUUUAUUAAAAGCCAUACUAUUCUAAAUUCAUGGAUCUUAUUACAGCAUCUCUAAGGGAAAUGCCAAAAAAAAAACUUCAAAUUUGAUGGCCUAUAAGGCAAUCUAACAUUAUGGACAACUUCUUAUUCCACCCGAACUGUUAAAUAAAAUUAUUAUUUUAUUAAAGAAUAAAUGAAAAACAAUGAAAAUAUGGUAAGAGAAAAGCAUAUGGAAGCUUGAAAACGUCACUUUUAUACACAGCAAGCGGGGCCCAUUCAUUAAAAAGCUCUCAAUAAUUGAAAUAACGUCUUUGUUUCUUGCUAUCAAAAUUGCAGCUGGUUCGCAAUAGACCCAUUAGUGUAGUAGUUUGGAAUGUUUACUCCCUCAAGCAAAGUCCUGAGUUCGAGUCCUAGCAUCUGUGUUAUGUGUGUGAGUUUAAUAUGCUUUCGCCCCUUUCAAUAGCAACAUAUCUUAAGCAUUGAAAUUCAAUCACCAUCAACACCCAUCUCUCACAUCAAGCUUUUAUACAUUUACUGACAAUCUGAAAAUUAGUAGUCAACAAAUGAGUGAGACCUUCAAAAGGGAGAAAUAUAACUAGGUCAUGGGGUAGCCAUCGAAAGGGUGAGAAUGAAGGAUUCUGAUAUGGUUAAGUUGUUGAACUGCAUGAGAAGAGGGAGAGAGAGAGAGGGAGGGGGCGGUAGGAGACUGGGUCGGGGUGGGCGGUUCCAUCUUUUUCAUGAUCUUUUAUUUUUUAAAUUUUAUUUCAAAGGGUUAUAGUUGGGUUUUAUGUCCAACUGUAAAAUAAAGUAUUAAUUGUUUUUAAAAAUGACACAUGGCAAAUUUUAAAUAGGAGUAUCACCAGUUGACGUUGUCAUACAGUACUAUUCUAUAAUUUCUCAUGUGGUAGGAGAUAUAAGGAUUGAUACAUAAAAUAACUUUUUAUUUGAUUGAUAAUCAUAUAAAGCAGAAGAUAUUUUGGCCAUUUGCAUCAAGCUCAAACUUCCUUUUUGCAUGCAUGCUCCUCCUGAACCACACACUAUAAUAAGAGGUAAAAAAUGAGUGGCAGCAUACUCGGCCAAACUUGUGAUUGUCAGUUUUCCCAAUUUCUCAUCCAGAUUAACUUAACUUUUUGAGAAAAAUAUUAGGUUGUCAAUUUUUUUUUUUGGGCUUUGAUUUGUAGUUUAGUUUUAGGAUUUGAAAAGCUUAUUUUGGGAUAAUUAUUAGUUUUUCCUUUGAAGUAUCAAAGAAAUAAAAUAUAAUUUUUAAGGAUUAUAAUUGGAAUAUUUUAAAAGUGACUUGUUGUAGUAAGCAACUUUUAUAACAAAUCCUAGCUUCCUUUCAACAACACAACAAAGGGGGAAGGUAUAGUUUAAAAACACAUUACCAUGACUAAUUGAGUGUCCAUAACAAAUUUUAGGGUACUAGAAUUAGGAUGUGUCCAUAACAAAUUUUAGGGUACGAGAAUCUUAAGGUACCAAAUUUUAGGCAAAUUAAUGUGAUCAUUGAGUUCAAUUCACAAUCUCCUGAAAUCUUAGGGCACCAAAUAGUCUAGCAGAAUAAUGUGCCUUGUGGAGUGUAAGCAUAUAUAUCUUUCUCUUGUUUCAUGUGAAUUGUAAACAAACUAUCACAUUAACAUGAUGUUUAACAAUAUGAUUGAGGGCAGGAUAUGAUGCUUGGUGGGACUGACACAACCUCCAACACAGCUGAGUUUGCAUUUGCGGAAACCAUGACCAAACCAGCGGUGAUGGGAAAAGCCAAGAGAGAAUUGGACGAUGUAGUUGGCAAAGACAGCAUUGUACAAGAAACUCAUAUUUCCAAAUUACCAUACUUACAAGCUGUGAUGAAAGAAACUCUACGCCUGCACCCAGUCGCGCCACUUUUAGCCCCUCACUGCCCAAGUGAAACAUGCACAGUGGGAGGUUACACCAUUCCAAAGGGUUCUAGGGUUCUUGUUAAUGCAUGGGCUAUUCAUAGGGACCCUUCUAACUGGGAAGACCCAUUGGAUUUUGAUCCAGACAGGUUCUUGCAUGGCAAAUGGGACUAUAGUGGACGUGACUUCAACUAUUUACCAUUUGGGUCAGGCAGAAGAAUAUGUGUUGGGACAGGAAUGGCUGAGAGGAUGGUGGUAUAUACACUUGCUACACUCUUGCAUUCCUUUGACUGGAAAUUGCCACAGGGGGAGGAGCUGGACCUUUCAGAGAAGUUUGGGAUUGUGAUGAAGAAGAAGAUACCUCUGGUUCUCAUCCCAACUCCAAGGCUAUCGGAUCCAGGACUCUAUGAGUAGCCUACAAUAUUUCUAGAUGUUAAUGCUUUUGAUGAUUGAAGUUGUACUUACACUAUGCCAAAAAAGGCCUUUAGCAACGGAUAAAAUCUGUUGCCUAUUGCCCAUAAAUACCGUGGUAUUCAAGCCUGUUGCCUAUUACUAUGUAAUAAGCAACGGAUAUUAUCCGUGGCCUUUUAAUACUUACAACAUCGGAUAUUUGGUAAAUUUCAAUGCGUACAUUAUUUCCGUGUGCCAAAAAAAGGUUGACCUCUGAUGCCUAAACCUAAAACAGCAUCAGUGGUUUCAAAAGGAAGGAGGCUAAAGAGGUAUUACAGCAUCAGUGGUAUCUCCUAUAUUGAUGCGUAUUAUCAAUUACAACAUCGCAGAAACAAAUAGUGCUGUUGCGAAUUAUGUUAUACGUCAUCGCUUUUUCUAUUUUGUCGACAUGAAAAGCCUCCAAUAGCGAUGGUGGUUAUAUAAAUGCUGAUGCUACUUCUAAUUUUAGGCAUUAGUGAUCAUUGAUAUAUGGUGGUUGUUUUUAUCUUUCAACUCCACUUAUUUCUGGAAAACUAAAGUUGUUAUAAAAAUAGGCAUCACUUAUGUAAGGAAAGUGUAGGCAUUUUGCAUGUUCCAUGUCACACUUUACUUGGUUAUUAUCUUAGAAUAUCAAAAAGGCAUCAUUUCCAAAUCAUGUUGUGCUGCCAUUGCUCAUAAAAAAACAUGUAUAUAAACAGUAAUUUAAAUAUAUCCAUACUUGUCUAUAUAUAUAAGUAAAACACUUGAAUGAUCCGUACUUGUCACACCUAAAUCACAAUUUUUCCAGCCCCACACCACAAAUUAUCCAUACUUGUCUAUAUAUAAGCAAAAUAUUAGCUAGAAAGACAUGUAAAAUGAAGGAGGAAUGUUUAGUUCAAUCAAAAAGCCGUUAUAGGGCAUGAGUUGCCAAUUCUUCUUGCACCUCAUCCAAUUCCAUUUGGGUGUACAUGCCCUUCCGUCUAGCUCUAUUUGGACGGACAUGAGUCUCUGAAAUAAGGAAACCAAUUUCAGUUUACCACAUAAAGAACAAUGCUCAAUAAAUUGAAAGAGAACCUUAAAUUUGCAACUUCCAAGAAACUAUACCCAAACUGAUAAAUUAUCUAUCUUAGAUAAAAGAACAAUCAAAACAUAAAUUGACAAAUUAUGCUUAUAAAGUAGCAAUAUACAAGCUGGAUUGUUGUUCUACCAAACUUGCACCAGCAGAGGCUAUAUAUAAUCAUGUAUGCAAUUGCUUUUGUAUUCAUACUGAGGAGCUAAAAUGCAAAAGUCAAAGAAAAACUGAUUUGAAGCUUUAGAAAAAGAGAAGGGAAAAAAAAAGGGGCUUCUUAGAUCUAGGUCCAAAAUGAUUAGUUGUCAUUGGGUUUAGUCAUCAUGUUUUUGGUUUUAGAUGUAGGUCCUUUGACAUUUAUUACUUUUUUUAUUGUGUCGAUUUUACCCUUUGAAGUAAAUAAGGAAAACACUUUGAAAAUCUAAAUUUAAUGCAUUAUUUCCUUGUAAUUGAAUUCCAUAAUUUAAAUUUUGAAUUUUUUCCUUGAUAAUAUUCCUAAUCAAUAAAAAGUAAAGACCCACAUAUUAUACUAAUCAAUCAGACAAGCACCCAUAUUAAAUUAUGUGUUUGACAUAUAGGUAAAUAGUGUUAUUAUUAGCAAUAAAAAAAUACUUGGUGAUAAAUCAUGUCACCUAUAAGUUAGGAACAUAAAUUAGAAGAUUGUCUAUAAGUCAGAUAUAGAAAUAGACAAAAUAAAAUUGUAUGUUACCUAUAAAAAAAAGGUACAUAAAAUACUAUUACACAUUGUCGAAAAUAUGAAAUAACAUAUAUAUUGUAACACCUCGACUUCAAAUAGGAUGUUAUACCUAGGGUAGGAGUCUUGAGCCAUGAUGUUGAGAUUUUCCGGCGAAGCUUUAUCGCUUUGGACACCCACGCGUUGCUGAAGCCUGUGGCGGCUCGUGGGCACUGUAGCAGAGGGGCAUUUUUGUCCCAAUGCGAUUCCCUUGAUGUCACGAGCGCGUAGGUGUGCUCGGAUUCCAAUUUGGUUGACGUUCGAACCCCGAACGAAUUUCACAUAUUAGGAGUUAUCCGGGUUCGAUAUGUUCGGACCGUUGGAUCGACUCCAUUACAAUAUAUGUUAAUCUAGACACUUCUAGGAUCGUGUAGGAAUUCGUGGAUUGUGAAUUGGAGCCCCGAAUAUUCCGAUUCAAUAACUUAAAGUUUACGUUUUACGAUAACCGUCCGAUCGUGUGAUCGUAAGCGAUCUAACAGUCCGUUUCCAAACUUGCGAGACGGGUAUCUAAGACCUUGUGAAACCUUAAGGAGCUUUUGGAUUGUGAAACCGAGAUCGUGGGUCCCGUGGGCCCGGUUGACCCGAAUUGGGAAGUUUGACCGUCGGUUGACCGAGUGUCUCCCGAAGCUAUUCAAUUGUCCGAAUUGGGUAUUUGGACUUUAGAACGUCUCAUUUUUAGUACACUUACUAGAAACCUGGGAAAUUAGGUUAUUUAAUUCAAAGUUCUCGUUCGAAACUCUUCGUAUUAAUCUCGUACACGUAUUCAGAAAUAAGCACUUCGACCACGCAUACGCAGCAGGCGGGACCCUCUCAGGGUCAAGCAGCGUGGGACUAUCUGUGAGUGGACAUUUAUUUUCAAAUCUUAUACAUGGUUUUAUGAUGGGAAAUAUUAUGCAUGAUGUUUUAAAUGGUAUAUUGGAUAUAUUAAUUAUUCAAUUGUUGAAAGUGAUUAUUUUUAUGAUGCAUUGGAAAUAUAUUUUUGGGUUUUGGCAUAUUUGAGUAUCUUGAGUAUGUAUAUAUGGAUUUUGAGAAUUUCUAUAUAUGUUUGGCUAUGUGUGGGGUACUUGGGUUGUUGAGAUGAGAUUGUGGAAAGUGAUGAGUAUAGAAUGUCAGUUCUGAGUGCUAUAAGCACUACCCUAUGUACCUCCCUGGAUUUGGAACUUGGAUACAGAAACUUGAGAUACUUGGAAUUGUCGGAACCCAAGGCAUCCUUGAUGGGAUGUUGCUGUAGACCCUUGAUUGGGUAGUUUGUGCGCGUAGGACUGGUCACAUACGUACGGGUUUUGAGGCUAUCGAUGGUACGUGCUGGCUGAGAGUUGGUCCCCCAGUUGGACGGCUCGUUCCCUAGUCACAUGGUGAAUUGAGGAAUUUGUUUAUUGAGACUCUGCCAUGGUGACUAGUCAAACAAUCCCCCGAUUGGAUUGUUUCCCCGGCACAACUAGGUGUGGUUAUAUUAUAUUAUAUAAUUAUAUAUAUAGCUAUUCAUUCGUUCUUGUUUCUCGAUGAGGAUACUUUCUUGCCGAUCGUGCCAAUGGGUACGCUUUCGAGAGUUUAGUUGUGGGAUUGUAAGAUUUGGAUGGUGGGUUUGUAAAGCUUUCUUUAUGGAUUUUGGACUUGGCAUCCGGUAUUUGAUUUUGAUUUGAUAUAUAUAUAUAUAUGCUUGAUUAUGAUGGUUUUGGGAUGCAUUUGGAUUUCUUGCAUGGUUUUCUAAACGGUAGGGUUAUAUCUUACGUUGGUUUACAUUGAACUGAAUUUUUAUUUUUGUCAACUCACAAUUUUCUGUUUUGCGCCCCCCAGCCAGUAGUUGACUAAGCUCCGUAGCAGAGCCGGAUCGUGUGCUUCCGAGCCUUGAGCCUUCGUAGGACUCUUUCUUCAUGUUAUUUCCUUUGAACUCUGUUUUUUUUGUUGUAAUUGAAUUUCUUAGACAUACUCUGUUAUCGCCGCUGUUAGGGUUUGAUUUGUGAGGCCGGAGGCCUUUGUUGUAAACUGUUUAUUCGCUUGAAAACAUGCUGUUGGUUGGGAUUAUAUUAUAUAUUUUUAUGCAAAUUGAAUUUUGUUGGGUUUGUUCAAUUUACAGGGGAGACUUUGCUAAAAUUUUUGGUAGAGAGUCUUGAGUUUUUAGUAAGUGAGCCCAACAUCGGGGUGAUGUCGGUAACAAAGACAGAGUCCGCUCCAGUUUUUGGGAAAUUUCGGGGCGGGUCCUGUGAUAUAUACCUAUGCAAUAGGCAAUAGGCAAUAUGACAUAAAUGAUUAUUAGCCGAUUCAAGUCAUAAGGGGCAACAUUGGAACGAAAAAUGAUUUUAAAAAUAAAAUAAUAAAAUAUUACAUUAAAAAAAAUUAAAAAGGAAAGUAAUUCUAUGUGGCACAAAAGUCAAAGGACUUGGAUCAAAGUCACCAAAUAUGAGGAUUAAACCCAACUCCUCAAUAUGAAUUUGAAUCUAUAUCAACUUUUCUAUAAAAAAAAAAAAAAAAAGAUUAUAUUGAAGCUUACCACAUUGCAAUCAGUGAAGUUGUUUCUGUGUAGAACCAGAUUACUAUGUUUUUGAGAAGAUAUUGGAAAGAUAUGAUAGUUAUAUGCUAAAGAUCCAUUUCCGUACAUGUCAUGUAAGUGCACGGUUGGUAUAUUAGGUUGAGUGCAUUGAAAAGACGCUUGUUUAUUGCUAAACCAGCCAGUAAAUAUAUCCCUGAACCCACGCUUGGUAACAUUUUCUAAGGUCUCCACUAUUUUAUUCUUGGAUUCAAACUUUCUGACUUAAAUGCUAUCUAAAAAAUUUGCACUAUUUUUGCAAACAGAUUACCUCAUUAAUAGGACAUUAGUAAAACAAAAGUAGUAAAGAAAUACAAACCAUAUCUAAGAAACCUUGUUGAUUCCAUGCAAGAUGAUUUAAAGGUUCCUAAGUGAAACAGUUCACUAUUUAUUUAAGAGAAAAACAAUCAAGCAAUUCCAAUGUACCACACCAUAAUUGAGAUAUGCAGCUAAAAACUGAUCAAUGACAAGUAAGAAUCUGUAAUGUUCCCUACAAGAAACUAAUGAUGCACUAAAAAAAAAGAGUUAGUUAUCUAAUAACAAGUAACUUUAUCAGCAUAUGCAGAAAGAGUUUUGUUGUCCUACCACAGAAGAUUGCCCUGAAAUAUUCUCAACAAUGUAGGCGGUGGCUGAUUGUCGGGAACAGCUACUGUACAAUCAUAAAUUGCUGGAACAAAUAAGCGCAUCUUGCUUACUGAUGAAACAAAACCCUGAAAGUAUGAAAGAAGUAGUACAAUUUUAAAAUAAAGGGGAAACACAAAACUGUGGAAAUUAUGUUGAUGAGUCACAUUAUGAAAUUAUGGGAAAAAGGACAUAAUGGCAAUGUACAAGGAACAUCUAGUUUUAAAAAAUUCAAAUAGGAUACAGCAGACACCAAUUUGACUUAAAAAGAAGGAAAAAUGGUAGGAAAAAAAUGUAAAUAGACUAUUACCUUUUUACGUGGAAGCAAGACAUUCCUAGGAAUAGGCACCCUCUUGAAGAGGCAAACUCUUGAGCUACCAUUAGCUUUGCCUGCGUAAAUCGCGUUCCUUCUACAAAGAGAGCCAACCAAAAAGGCAUGAGGAAAUCCUCUAGUUGUUGAAAACCCGACUGUAGUGGGAAACACCAUGAGUUAUAAAAUGACAAAGAAGAAGACUGUGUCAAACAUAUGCGGAUAACCACAUUUACAGAUACCUUCAAUGUAAUUUCAUCUUUAGUCCAUCUUCUUUUCAAGAAGAAAUAUUCAGAAAACCACAUUGACCAACCUAUGCUUUUAAUUAAACUACGGUUUAUGUCAAGCUAACAAUUUGAACUUGAUCAAUAAUUUAGAUUAGCAACUUGACCGUCUAAGAGCAUCUCCAAGGGAGAUGUCAAAUAUCAGACAUCAAAUUUAAAUUUGAUGGCUGAUGCGGCAAUUUGACAUUUACACAGUUUUAUACUCCACUCGAUAUGUCAAAUAAAUAAUUAUUGUAAUAGUCAAAUCAUUUAAGAUAAAGAAGAAAAAUAAUAAAAAAGGAAAAUAAUAAAUGAAAGUAACUGCCAGUUGUCUUUAAAAAAUAAUAAAAUAUUCAUUUGACAUCUUACUUUUGGAAUGUCAAGAGUAACGGCUAAACCUCCAGCUUCAUUCCACAUCAGCUUUGACAAUUCGGUUGGAGUGAUGUGAGAUGUAAUUUCUAACCGUUAAAUGUUUAUGUGGCAGUUUUGAUAUAUCGGUUGGAGAUGCUCCAACAUUGGGAACUAAUUCAAAUGUUAUUUCCUCUCUCAAAAAUUCAUGUAUAACAUUGGUAAUGGAAAACCUCAAGGCCUAUGAGCUUCUACACAUACCAAAGAAUUAUGGAUCCCGACGAUAAAUGAGCACAUGUGAUGCAACGGUACUUGAGCCAGGGUGUUGGGAAACAUGAACCAACAGCCAUCAAGCUCCGUAUACCCCGGAAUUAGGCACAAAAGACAAGAAAAAACACUCAAACUUGUUGAUGCUAAGAAUACUCAGAUUAUAAGAAAAGAAGAGAACGCUCUUUUUGUGUUCAAUUUCAGUUCUCAACAAUUGCCUUGAGAAGUCUGAGCAUAGUAUUUAAAGACAAUCUCUCAUCCCCAAUGACAGAUGUGUGCUUAGGCCUGCAAGGGCCUUGCCCCUCCCAAAAUUCUGAAAUACUAUAUAUAUUGGGCUUUGCAUUGGACAACUUAGGAUAAAAGGUUAUUUCCUUAUCAAAAUGGCUAAGUGGCCCCUCACAAUAAAGAGAAUAAGAGAUUUUACAUUUCCCCCUCCAACUAAAAGGUUAUUUCCUUAGCAAAAUAGCUAAGUUACUCAUGGAUCCCACCAACAUAAUUAAUAAAAAAAAUUAAAAGAAACAGCCAAUCAAAUCUUUCUUUUACACAUAUAUUUAAGAAAAUAGGAAAUCAAAGAUAACCUGUAAUAACCCGAUCUUAAAUCAAUUUUUAGGAUGCUGAGAAAAGUCUGCGUGCUCAAGAUGCUCAGCAACACAACUCUAGACUCGGUGUACGAACUCUGGCGAAAGUAGCUCCGGGAAACUGUCGGGUACUUUUACAGUCGGGUGGGGUCGCCGGGCAAUGUCGGCUAGCAGAUAUUCUUAAAUGUGCUGCAUGUUAUCACGAACAUGUUGUGGGGUGAGACGGUGGAGGGCGAAGAGAGGGCGGGGCUGGGGGUGGAGUUCCGAGAGGUGGUGUUGGAGAUGACGGAGCUUCUGGGGAAGCCGAAUGUUUCAGACUUUUAUUCGGGUUUGGCCCAGUUCGAUCUGCAGGGUGUGGAGAAGCAGAUGGGCAGGUUGGCCCGGAGGUUUGAUGGGAUAUUCGAGAAGAUAAUAGAUAAACGGAUGAGGAAUGACAAGGAAGGCCUGAAGGAGAGUAAGGAUUUUUUUACGUUUUUGUUGAAGUUGAUAGACGAGGGAGGAGAUUCCAAGACCCCUUUCACCAUCACCCAUCUCAAAGCUUUGCUUAUGGUACGACUUCGUUUAACUUCACUUGAAAGCCCAUGCUUAUUUCUUUUUUAAGUUUUCAUUGAUCGGUCAUUGAAAGGAAAAUUAGACCAAUCUUAAGACAUCUAAUAUUGUUGAAAUAAAUAGACAAAUGUUAUAAAAAUAACCUGAAAUAUGUAUGAAUAUUGAGCUGCACGUAAAGUAGAUGAGACACAGCAUUUAACGAGGUUCGGCUAUGCCUACGUCCUCGGAGAGCAGCAGCAGUAACUUUUUCACUAUAUAAAAUAAUAGGGCUACAACUUUAGAGUUUACAAUAUGUGAGGCUCACUGAAUUUUCUCUCUCUUUCCUCUUCUAUCUUUCCUCCUCUUUUUCCUCUUCUUUCCUCUUCUCUUUUUCCUUUCUUCUUUUCUCCUCUCUUUUCUCUUCUCCCCUUUCUUUCUUUUCUCCGUUGGUCACUCUUCCCAUUGCAAGUGAUAUGCCUAUUUAUAGGCUAAGGUUUUGGUAAAAUACAGGGAAGGGAAGGUUCCUGGAAGAUGCAAGGAAACUUCCUGAAUUGAUAAAUACAGGGAAGGAAAGUUCCUGGAAGAUGCAAGGAAACUUCCUCUGUGGGCUCCACCUUCAAACUUUUACAACACUCCCCCUUGGAGACCACAAAUGAUAUGGAAUAUGCCUCGUUAAAAACCUUGCCAGUAAAAACCCAGUGGGACAAAAACUGGUCGAAGGGAAAAAGAGUACAUAAUCACGUGUAACAUAAAAUUCUGUGUAUAUUGACGCGCGUGCGACACUGCCUCGUUAAAACCUUGCCAGGAAAAACCCAGUGGGAUAAAAACCUGGACGAAGGAAAAAAAGUACAGUGUGUAAGGGUCUGUAUUGACAGCACGCUCCCCCUGAUGCUUGGCAAAAUAUCUUUAAGCCAUACUGUUGAUCAUCUGUCUGAAUAUCAUAGUUGACACUGCUGCUGUGAGUCAAUAGUGUAUGAAGGUCUUUAUUAAUACCAUGCUCCCCCUGAUGAAUAUCUCCCCCUGAAAACUUCAUGACUAGCUUUUUCCAGUAAGCGACCAUAGAGAUUUCCUGAGUCCGCAUAUCUUAGAACACUUGGGCUAUUUAUAAGUUCACUAAAAAAUAUGCCUGUAUAUGGUGUUAUGCUUAGAUAGCAUCAAAUAUACCUCACAUCAUCCCAAAAUGAUGGUGAUGGAGUUGAGCCCUAUCUGGAAAAUAUGAUGUCCGGUCCAAUAUACUUCCGGAAAAUCGUUAAAGUGUCCAACGGAUAAUCCUCAUAAAAAUACUUUAAUACUUUCUUAGUAUAAGCAAGAAUCUCGUUGGCAUAAUGCUCGAUCGAGACAAAUAUUUCAAGAAUUCUGCAGAAGCUUUAAUGUGUUGCAAUCACAUUAUAAUCAAUGUACUCACUGAGGUAAUUUAUACAUAUUAAUAUUGAGUACAAAUUUUGUGCUUCAAGCACAUGUCCUUUAGGGACUUGCUUUAUGCAAUAUCAAUCCUCUCAACGGAUUUUGUCUAAAAGGGAUUAAGCUUUAUGACACAUUAUAUAGCUUUUACCCAGCUAUUUAUACAUCUUUAGGAAAUCGCUUCUGGCGAUAUGCUCCGUGCAUUUAAUAACCCUUAAAGAUAAUAUGUUGGUCUCCGUAAUUGUGUAAUAAGGGGGAGGGGGGGGCACAAUUGAAUCUGUAAAUAUGGAGAAAACCCAACAUUUCUUGUUUCUGCCAGAAACAGUGUGUCAUACAAAGUAGGUAUAUUUCCUUUUAUUCCGAACACCCAAGUAUAACUUUCAGUAUUAACAAAUUUUGGGGUUCGUAUUGUGGGUUUGUUCUUUCACGUUCAUUCUCAUUUAUAAUGGAAUUACCUCGUUCCAUUUUGGCCAAUGAUAUUGUCGACAUUUAAUAAUUGAACGUGGUUCUAAUCAACACAGCCCAUUGAUGAUUUGAGUAGCUACUCCAAAACCAAAAAUUGUCAUUCAUCAAUUCAUGAUCCCACCAUUCUCAUGUGUAUGCGCAUGCAUCAAUUAUAAGCAUUUCUUUGCUUUUGGGUACCCAAGCCACUUCAGGGGGCUUUUAUUAUGUGAGAAUGUGGAUUAUAACCUCCAUCGGAGCGUUAUUUAGUAGUAGGGCGUGGAUAAUCUCCAUUUAGGGAGUUGGAACAUUUAGAACCCAUAUAUCUGUCAUGCUGCAGGCAUGCCACAGAUUAAUACAUACAUGUCAAUUAAUUUCUGGGACUUUAACCCAUAUUAUGGGACUUUAACCCAUAUAAUUUGCUACGCAUUAGGCGUGCAUAAUAUCAAUAUUGACAUGUCAAAGGAUUGUCCUUUCGGGACUUCAAUCCAUAUCAUUUGCUACGCAACAGGCGUGCACCCAUAUUGAUCACUGCUACACCCAUAUUCUGUUCUUAUGGGACUUUAAUCUGUGCAGUGUAUUAUCAAUGUAUCCAUCUUACAAUCUGUAAAAUUUGCAUUAAUAAUUCAUGGAUACAUACAAGCCAUUCUUUUGGAACGGACUUAUCUCCCAAUUUGGUUACCUUUCAAGAUAAAAUAUCAAAUAGGUAUAUAAGCAUAAAAUAACACAAGUAUUGCUUACAUCCUUAGGUGGGAGAAACUUUUCUCAAGUAUCAUUCAAGCUCAUAUCAGCCCAGUAAAUAUAAUGUAGCGCUUGAUGAUCUAGUUAUAUCAUGCAAGAGCAAAAAUCACAACUCUUUUGCCUCUGUCAAAACAAAUAACCCUCAUAGUUAGGAUUACUUCAUGGAUUCAUUCUUCAGAUGUUCAUUCUAAAGAAAUAAAAUCUCUUAUGAACAGAGAGUUAUAAAAAGAGAAAAAAUGCAAAAAUAAUGUGAUAUUGAUUGCAAGAGAAGGUAAGCAAUCAGGGAAGGAAGCUGGUGGGAGCAGACAAUAAGCUCUCAUAUCUCCUAGUCUAGAAGGACUUCCGGAGAUUAGAGCAUAAGAUCGCCUUCACAGUUUCCUGAUGCAGUGGAAACGUGAUCAGGGAUAGUCUUGCUUCCUGAAUGGAUGAUCAGAGAUAGUCUUGCUUCUCAGGCAUAUUGAGUGCUCACUGAUAAGAAAAAUAAGUAGAUAUCGCAUCACUAGGUAUGGAGUAAACUAGAUGUCUUCUGCAAAGAAAAUUUCGUUAGUAACACAUUUAUACACAAAUACAAUGAAUAGGUAGAACCGGUGAAUUUCAAAUUAACCAUAGGAAAAUUGCGAGAUUCUCGGGAUACUUUUGAAAAAGUAGUUCCGUGAAAUCCAUAAAGCAAGAUCGGCUUUGAAAAUAAUACUUUGAAAAACGCCGAAAGUGCCGACAGGCAUUAUUAGAGGCCACGUGAAGUUUUGGACUCUGGGAAAGAAAAAGAUAAUAUGGGGAUUCGAGAAGAUAUUGCCGACAGGCAUUAUUAGAGGCCACGUGAAGUUUUUGACUCUGGGAAAGAAAAAGAUAAUAUGGGGAUUCGAGAAGAUAUUGCCGACAGGCAUUAUUAGAGGCCACGUUUUCGCUAUAGAUAUUGCCUUUGCAAACUGCGUUUCAACUCAAUUUCCUUCAUUUUCCGAACCUUUAGUUUUUCUAAGACUUUCUUCGAAACCUUCUUAAAAAAAAUGGCUUCCUCUUCUUCCUGCCCAAAUUAUUUCAAUUUAAAUGAUGCUCCCACAACUACCAGUGACGCCCAAGUUUGGCGUCCAUCCUUUGUAUCCAAAAAUCGUCAUCUCACAGUUAAUGAUUCUGUGAUGAUGAAUGAUGCUACUGCUGUCAUAGUAGCUAGGAAUUUCAUUACUCCAAUGGAUGAAAUGUUGUUGACGGGGAGAUCAGAGGAAGAGGCUAUUGAUGACUCAAUGGCUUUUAGCAUUCAGAGUGCUGUUUCUGUUUCUAACAUGGCUGAUCGUUUGCGUGCCAGAGCAAACGAGGUUGAGAGGUUAGCUACUGAAAAUUCGUCUCUCCAAAGAAUGCUUCAUGAGUCUCAACAGGAGGUUGAGAAACUUAAAGGAGAGAAUAAUGCCUUGUUGAAACUGGUGAGUUCGUACUCUGUUGAUACACUGAGAAGGCUAGACAUGCUGCAGGUCUCCAAUGAAAGAAUUUUGGGAGACCACGAGAAGCUCAUGGCUAAGCUUAAGAGGCGCCGUCAUCUUCCUGCAGAGGCUUCCAGAACAUAAUGUAAUUUUUUUUUUUUAUAGAUUUCACAGGGCCUGCACCUUCAUUGCAGGUGGAAAAAUCUAUCUGUUAUAUGUUCCUGUUAUGAUAAUUGCGCAUAUUCUUAAACUUGCACCUGUGGUUUUUACGUCUUUUUAAAAUGACGAUUUGGAACCUUGUGCCUUAUAGGUUCAAAUAACCACAUCGACUCUCCCAAAUUUCAUAUUUCAACGUAUGGUAGCCCGGAACUUAUGGCCUGGGCACAAACUUAGAAUUUAUUUGCCCUUUUCAAAUGGACAUGAAAUAUGAAUUGAGUAAAAGCCAUGAUAAUAUCGCAAUAUAGUAGUGAAGAGCAUUAACUACUAUAUACCCACAACUUCAAGUUUAGGAUCUCUCAUAUAUUUGGAUCCAUGGGCUUCCGGCCCAGAUAUAACAAAAUAUGUGGGGAGACUCAAUUCAUUAUUUGAGGUUUAUAUUGAUAUUAUCCAUUUCGCGGUGUAUUCUUAACAACCGGAAUUCACAAAAUAUAUUUCUUCCUUGAGGUGUCGAUUAUAACAAAAUCGAACUUUAAAUUCAUCAUCUUCUUAUGCCAAAGAGAUAUGUGGCAUACCACAAUUUGCAAUAAUACCUCAAGGGUUGUCCAUUUAAUUGUUGGAACUUCAGGUUCUCAACACUGUUAAAUUUUGAACUUCAGGCCAAAGCCACAUAUUCUCAUGGUAUGGACAUUUUUACAAUUUUCUAUACAUAUUUCGGGACUUCAAGCCCUUACAUAAUUGUCCAUAUUUUGAGGAACUUCUGGCAUCUCAUUUAAUUGCUCAUCCAUGAGUUUAAGGAACUGCAGGUUCCCUUUUGUAUAUAGUGACGGUUUACCCAAAAUGGUUAAUAUUUAUGCAUACGUCACUAUUCAUGUGAAUAGUACUAUUCAUCAAGUCAUGAAUACAUAUCUAUUCAUCUGCCAGUACAGUUAUCAUCAAUGUGUACGGCACCAUGAACCAAUACGGUACUGUUACAUCAUUAAGGAACUCUAGGUCCUUAUUUACAUGUCGGGAUCAAGGACCUUUAAGUCCAAUCACAUGUUUACAAAUACAGUACCGGAGAGACUGCCAGCUCUCAUAUCAUCAUCAAGGAUCUUCAAGUCCUGAUGUAAUUGUAUGAUGAGGAUCAAGGAACUUCUGGUCCUGAUCUGCAUACUGGAAAAACUCAUCAUACAGCACAAUUAAUCCAUAAAAUAAAUUGCUGAUAAAUAAAUUACUGGUAUGGACGAUAAACCCGCACCACACUUUAAAUAAAUGUAAAUGUGCGGUAAAUUAAAUUCAUAAAGUUAAGGUGCUUGUAUGGGCAUUAAUUCUGCUCCAUACAUUUAAAUAAAAGUAAAGGCGUGGACGAUAAACCCGCACCACCCUUUUAAAUAAAUGUAAAUGUGCGGUAAAUUAAAUUCAUAAAUUAAAUUGCUUGCUGUAUGGACGUUAAUCCCGCACCAUACUUUAAAUAAAAUUAAAUGUGCGGUAAAGUAAAUUGUGCUUGUAUGGGCACUAAUUCUGCUCCAUACAUUUAAAUAAAAGCAAAGGCGUGGACGAUAAACCCGCACCACCCUUUUAAAUAAAUACUGUUGUAUGGGUAAUAAACCUACACCAUACAGUAAAUAAAAUAAAUAUGCGGUAAAAUAAAUUUGCGAUAAAGUAAAGGUGCAUGUAUGGGUAAUAAACCUACACCAUACAGUAAAUAAAUGUGGGGUUAAAACCACCACCGAAUAAAAUAAGAAAAAAAGUUAGUAUUAGUAACGGUCUCCCACUGAUAAUAUGUUUAGUAUUACCAAGGGUCCAUUUUUGUUAGUGGUUAGUAGUAUAGAUAAUAGUGCAGCACAAAAAUUAUACCUGAGAGCUUCUCGUGCUGAUAACGUGUUAUAAAAAUAACCUGAAAUAUGUAUGAAUAUUGAGCUGCACGUAAAGUAGAUGAGACACAGCAUUUAACGAGGUUCGGCUAUGCCUACGUCCUCGGAGAGCAGCAACAGUAACUUUUUCACUAUAUAAAAUAAUAGGGCUACAACUUUAGAGUUUACAAUAUGUGAGGCUCACUGAAUUUUCUCUCUCUUUCCUCUUCUAUCUUUCCUCCUCUUUUUCCUCUUCUUUCCUCUUCUCUUUUUCCUUUCUUCUUUUCUCCUCUCUUUUCUCUUCUCCCCUUUCUUUCUUUUCUCCGUUGGUCACUCUUCCCAUUGCAAGUGAUAUGCCUAUUUAUAGGCUAAGGUUUUGGUAAAAUACAGGGAAGGGAAGGUUCCUGGAAGAUGCAAGGAAACUUCCUGAAUUGAUAAAUACAGGGAAGGAAAGUUCCUGGAAGAUGCAAGGAAACUUCCUCUGUGGGCUCCACCUUCAAACUUUUACAACAACAAACACGAUUAGGGCAGACCCCAGAGUCACUUUCACAAGGUGGCCCUGGCCCCCCAAUAUUUUGUACACCUCCACCAAUCAAUGUAUGCUUUAAGUUAGGCCAUAUCUAGUGGGCCAUAGGCUAAAAAAACUUCGGCCAAUUUUGAGGGCUACAUCCCUUACCCCUCCUCCCAAGCCACAUGUAGCUAGCUGUAGUCCGGACCAAAUUUUUUGUGUGGAUCCAGCGUAUAUACUGCCUAACAAGAAAAAGAAUCACCUGUGGGCGUAACCUGAGGAACAGCUUGUGCAACUGCGAUCCAAUGUUGCUAUUCAAGGCUUUCACGUCAACUAACCGUUACUUUUUUUUUUCUUCUCCUUUAACGUUUUAAAUUUAUAUAAACAGUCCUGAUUUCUUGGACUACAGGGGUCUAAGAGAUUUGUGGUCACUCACCGUUGGAUGUAAAUUCAACGGUUCACUCACUCUUGCACUCCUUUUCAGAAACUUUUUUGACCAUUGGAUUAAUAUUCAACAGUGAGUGACUACAAUUUCUUGAACUCUUGUGAUCCAAGAGAUCGAGACUAUAUAUAUAAAUCCGUUUUUUUUAUUAAAAAAAAUUUGGUUUUUGAAAGUGCAUCAAUUUUUAAAAAUAACCAUUGUGGGCUUAAUUUUUAUUUUUUUAUUUUCCCAAAAACACCUAAAAUAUGUCUAUAACUACUUCCAAAUUUCUUCAAAAAUGUUCACUUAUUUCAUUCCACAUUUCUUACAAAUUUUAUCACAUUAUCUACUUAUUCAAAAUUUUCCACACUUAUUAUUAUUUUUUUUGGUCAAAUAUUUUCCACUUUUAUUUUCCCCUUUGGUGAUUGCUUUGCUUUAUUUAUCACAGUUUCAUGAGAAGUGGAAGACUGUUAGGCCCCGUUUGGUUCAUGGGAAAGGAGGCUUGGGAAUGGGAAUUCAAUUGCUUUCCCAUGUUUGGUAAGUCCAUGCAUGAGAAAUGAUUGCCUGUCACAUGGGAAAGUAGGGGGAAAGUAAAGCCCUCAUCUUAAGCCCACAAUGGUUAUUCUCUUCUCAUGGGAAAGUUUAGAAAAAUGAGCUAACAUUUAAUGCACAAUUUUCAUUACUAUUUUGUCCCUAUGAACAAUUUAUAAUUACAACGUAUCAUUAAAUGCAUUUUUUUUAUUUGAUUUAAUAUGGGUAUAAUUGGAAAAUUAUACAAACUUUAUUUUCCAUUCCUACUCAAAACAAACACGGGAAAGGAAACAAAGUAAAAUCUCCCGAUUACUUUUCCGACAUUACCAAACGUGGGAAAGGAAUCUUUCAUUCCCAUUCCUUGGGAAAUGACAUGGGAAUUGAUUUCCCUUCAAAUCCAUUCCUUGAACCAAACAGGGCUUAGGUUUUUAUUUAUUUAAGUAAUAACUAUUCUGCUGUUGUUAAUUAUUUGAGUUGUUAUUUGCUUAAUUGGCAAUUAAUAUAAAAGUGGAAAGUUUGUUGGGUUAAUUAACAGAAUAAUCAGGAAAAAUCUUAUUAAUGUUGUAAAGUUAUUAGUGGAGACCACCUUUAUGGGGUCAUGAAGAAAUUAAGCAAAGUUGUUUAGAAGCUUAUUGAUAAGUCAAUAUUUUAUAUAUAUUUUAUGCCUCCUUGAUUAUUUAUUUGUUAAUUUCCUUGGAUUAAAUUGGUUGUUUUAAUUAGUUUUGUGAGAUUUGUGAAGGAAUUGUGAAAUAGGAGAAAGUGUGCUAAAAAGGGCAAGAAGAUGAAGAUUGGCGAUUAAUUAAAAAGAAGCCAAGUAAUUCCUUUGUUGCAAGGAAUGUUAUGAAAUUUCCUAGUUCAAGAUGGUUCAAGUCUUAUCAAGUCAAACAAGGAGAAAUAAAGAAGUCCUUAUAUUAGAAGGAAUCCUAUUUUUAUAACAAUUGUAAUUACAGUCCUGAUCUCUUGGACUAUGGAGGUCCAAGAGAUUUGUGGUCACUCACCGUUGGAUGGAAAUUCAACGGUUCACUCACUCUUGCACUCAUUUUAAUUUUUUUUUUUAAACCAUUAGAUCAAUAUCCAACGGUGGGUGAUUACAAUCUCUUGGACUCUUGUGGUCCAAGAGAUCGGGACUGAUUGUAAUUGUACCUUAGUUAGGAUUUCUAGGAGUUUUAUAAAUAGGGAAUUUAGGUCUUUGUUCAAAGAAUCCAAUUACCCAUCAUCCAUCCUCCAUCAUCUACCCUAAAAUUCCUACAUAUUCAUACUCAUAGCCGAAAAAUUCAAAGGAGAGAGAGAGUUUUAGAGAGACAAAGAAGACAACCUGGAGCUAGAGUUGCUGUCGUGCAGAGAUCAAAUCUUCAGUUGGUUUCUUCUUUCCUAUGAUACUAUUUAUCAUGGUUUUUAUUAAAGUUUUCAUGAACUAAUUUCUUCUUGCUAGGGCUACGAUGUAGCCUAGCCAUGAAUACUUAAUUACUUUAGUAAAUGUUAAUUCCAAGUAUUUUUCCAUGUUGAGUAUCUAUUAUCAUGCUUAAUGCUUUGAAUGUUUGGCCAACAUUUAAUUGUUUUGAUGCUAAAUUGACGAUAGGGAUUUUCAAUUUGGGGUUACUUCUUGUAAUAGAUGCCAUGAGUUACAUGAUUAGACAGGGAUGUUUGUCAUGACUUAUGUGGUUGUUUUGUAGGUUUUCCAAGGAAUUUAAUGGGUUCUUAUUAUCUUAAUUCCAUUACUAGGGAUAUAGUGGGUUGGUAAUAAGAAUACUUUUGAUAUAAACAUGGAUGGAGAGUAUCGAAUAAAGUAGGGAAAAUCAAUUGUCAACAUGGAGAAUAAUUAGAAUUAACAUGCUAAGGGAAUUGGAUAGAAUUGGCUAUGGUGUAAUCGGAACCUCUAGUGCUCUCAUAACUUGAAUCUCACUACUUUAUUUUUCUAUGCUUGCUUUUAUUCCUUGUUUUAGUUAAUUAAUCAAUUGAAUCUCAUCAUCAAUUGUUCAAAUAAAGUCUUGGGUUAAUCACAAUCGGUACUUAGCAAAUUAAAUCACUCUUCGUGGGAACGACACUUCACUCAUCACUGUAUUACUUGUGCGAAUUGUGCGCUUGCAAUAAAUUUCACAACACUUAUCACAUGCUCACUCACGGGCAUUAUUUCCUGAACCUAUAAAUAUGGCAUUAUUGUGCCUUUGCAUGGACACCCUCCAACUGAGAGAAGAAAAAGAGUCAGGUAGAGAAGGAAGAGAGAGAGAUCAGAGAGAAAGAAAAGAAGGAAGAAAGAGGAAGAGUGAAUAGAGAGAAAAGAGGGCAGGGAGAAAUUCUCCAAGAGAGAAAAAUCAGUGAGCCACAUAUAUUGUAAACACUAAAGUUGUAGCCCUAUUAUUUUAUAUAGUGGAAAAGUUACUGCUGCUGCUCUCCGAGGACGUAGGCAUGACCGAACCUCGUUAAAUGUUGUGUCUCAUCUACUUUACUUUAUCGCACAUAUUCCAGUUAUUUUAUAACAAUUAAAGCAUUUUCUUCAAUGCGUACGUGGGCAAUACACCGGGACCCUUCCAUUUGGGAAAAUCCAUUGGAGUUUGAUCCAGAAAGGUUCUUGAACAGCAAAUGGGACUAUAGUGGAAAUGACUUCAACUAUUUCCCAUUUGGAUUUAGCAGAAGAAUAUGUGCAGGGAUUGCAAUGGCUGAGAGGAUGGUGAUGCAUUCACUUGCUACACUUGUGCACUCUUUUGACUGGAAAAUGCCACAAGGACAGAAGCUGGAUCUUUCAGAGAAGUUUGGAGUUGUGCUGAAAAAGAAGCUGCCUUUGGUUGCUAUCCCAACUCCUAGGUUAUCUGAUCCAGCACUCUAUGAGUAGCCAACUUCUUUUUCCCCACAAAGAUUUCUUGGGAUAAUUGUUGUUUGUAUGUGUCUUUCAGAACCUGGUAAAAUCAGGAUGAAUUUAUGUUGCAUUAUUUGGGAGUUGAGGCCCCAUGACAAAGAUUGUGAAAAAUAAUGCCAAUAAACAAAUAAAUAAUUAUAUAUAUGAUUUUUGCCGCCAGGCCCAUUGGGCAUGCCCUUACUCGGUAACCUUCUCUCUCUCGACCCAGAACUAAACUCCUACUUCGCCGGCAUGGCCCACACUUAUGGCCCAAUCUUCAAGCUCCGCCUCGGCGCCAUGACCUGCUUCGUCAUCAACUCCCCUUCCUCCGCCCGCGAGGUCCUCAAAAACCGUGACGUCCCCGUAGCGGCCCGGAUCGCCUUUUACGAGGGGCCGACGUCGUGUGGACCCCGCACGGGCCGGAGUGGCGGAUGCUGAGAAAGGUCUCCAUCCUGAAGAUGCUCGGCGGCGCCGCGCUGGACUCUUUCCAAUUGAUCCGCCAAAACCAGGUCCGAAAGACGGUCGGGUACUUGUACGGUAGGGCCGGGUCGCCCGUAAACGUGGGCGAGCAAAUCUUCCUGACGUCGCUUAACGUCAUCUCUAACAUGAUAUGUGGCGGCUGCAUCGCGGCGGAGGACGGGGAGGAGAGGGCCGGGCUCGGGGAGGAGUUUCGGAAAGUGGUGUCGGAGAUAACGAGGCUCAUAGGUCGGCCCAAUGUUUCGGAUUUUUUUCCGGGUUUGGGUCGGUUCGAUUUGCAGGGUAUAAAGAAGCAGAUGGAGGGGCUGGUGCGGGGGUUUGAUGGGAUAUUUGAGCAGAUGAUUGAUCAACGGCUGCUGAAGAUGGAGGGGGAAGGCGCGAAAGAGAGUCAAGAUUUUUUGACUUCUUUGUUGAAAUUGAAAGAGGAGGGAGGAGAUUCCAAGACGCCUCUGACCAUGACUCACAUCAAAGCUCUGCUCAUGGUAUGUGAACUACUAUUCUUCAAAACUUGAUUUCCGUACAAAAGCCAAAUGCCCAGAUGAUUCAAUUCAAACCUUUGGACCAACCAUACUAACGAAAAAAAAAAAACUUUGGACCCAAAUUAAUCAACCUCACUAAUCUAGAUAAUGAACCCCAUUAAUCUAGAUACAUUGAGAACUCUAAGUAUUUCAAUUGAGAACUCUAAGUAUUUCAAAUACAUGAAAUUUAUUAAAAGCCAAACUAUUCCAAAUUCAUGGAUCUUAUUAGAGCAUCUCUAAGGGAAAUGCCAAAUAAAAAACUUCAAAUUUGUAUUUAACGGCCUAUAAGGCAAUUUAACAUUAUGGACAACUUCUUAUUCAACCCGAACUGUUAAAUAAAAUUAUUAUUUUAUUAAAGAAUAAAUGAAAGAAAAUGAAAAUAUGGUAAGAGAAAAGCAUAUGGAAGCUUAAAAACGUCACUUUUAUACAUAGCAGGCGGGGCCCAUUCAUUAAAAAGCUCUCGAUAAUUGAAAUAACAUCUUUGUUUCUUGCUUACAUAUAAUAGUUUUUAGAGCUUUUCCGUAUGAUUUUUCAAUUUUGAGAAAAUUUUAACCUUUUAAAUCGUUAGACAUGUUUAAAAUUUUCAAUGAGUUUCCAAAACUUUCCAAAAAUAUUCCAAAAUAUGUAAGUUCUGAAAUUUUCCUAUACUUCCAAAAAUUCCAAGUUUUUUGAAUUGUACUGGAUGUUGAAAUUCCAAAAUUUUUUGUAAUGGAAUUGGAAAAGAAUUUUCAUUCUGAUUUUUUUUGGAAUGGAAUUGGAAUCCCCUGAUUCCAGCCUUACACCUAACCCAACCCCUUACCAUGCACUCUCUCUCUCUCUCUCUCUCUCUCUCUCUCUCUCUCUCUCUCUCUCUCUCUCUCUCUCUCUCAAACUGAAAGGUCUCUUGAACCCAUGGAAGCACAUGCAACAUAUCUUAAGCAUUGAAAUUCAAUUACCAUCAACACCCAUCUCUCACAUCAAGCUUUUACAGAUUUGAUGACAAUCUAAGCCCACCAUCUCUUGAACCCAUGGAAGCAUAUGCAACAUAUCUUAAGCAUUGAAAUUCAAUUACCAUCAACGCCCAUCUCUCACAUCAAGUUUUUACAGAUUUGAUGACAAUAUGAAAAUUAGGAGUCAACAAAUGAGUGAGACCUUCAAAAGGAAGAAAUAUAACUAGGUCUUGGGUUAGCCAUCGAAAGGGUGAGAAUGAAGGAUUCAUAUAUGGUUAAGUUGUUGAACUGCGUGAGAAGGGGGAGAGAGAGAGGGGGAGGGGGCGAUGACCAUGGGAGGAAGGGGGCGGUAGGAGACUGGGGUCGGGGUGUGCGGUUCCAUCUUUUUCAUGAUCUUUUAUUUUUAAAAUUUUAUUUCAAAGGGUUAUAGUUGGGUUUUAUGUCCAAAUGUAAAAUAAAGUUUUAAUUGUUUUAAAAAAAAAGACACAUGGCAAAUUUUAAAUGGGAGUGUCACUGACUGACGUGGUGAUACAGUACUAUUUUAUAAUUUCUCAUGUGGUAAGAUAUAUAAGGAUUGAUACAUAAAAUAACUUUUUAUUUCAUUGAUAAUCAUAUAAACCAGAAGAUAUUUUGGCCAUUUGCAUCAAGCUCAAACUUCCUUUUUGCAUGCGUGCUCCUUGACCACACACUGUAAUAAGAGGUAAAAAAAUGAUUGGCAGGAUACUCGGCCAAACUUGUGAUUGUUAGUUUUCCCAAUUUCUCACCCAGAUUAACUUAACUUUUUGAGAAAAAUAUUAGUUUGUCAAAUUUCUUUUUUUGCUUUGAUUUGUAGUUUACUUUUAAGGAGUGUAUUCAAUUGGAAUUUGAAAAGAUCAUUUGGGAUAAUUAUUAGUUUUUCCUUUGAAGUAUCAAAGAAAUAAAAUAUAAUUUUUAAGGAUUAUAGUCGGAAUAAUAUUUUAAAAGUGACUUGGUGUAGUGAGCAACUUUUAUAACAAAUCCAAGCUUCCUUCCAGCGCCACAACAAAGGGGAAAGGUAUAGUUUAAAAACACAAUAAUGGUAUCAUGAGUAAUUGAGUGUCCAUAACAAAUUUUAGGGUACUAGAAUUAGGAUUUGUCCAUAACAAAUUUUAAGGUACUAGAAUUUUAGGGUAUCAAAUUUUAGACAAAUUAAUGUGAUCAUUGAGCUCAAUUCACAAUCUCCUGGAAUCUUAAAGUACCAAAUAGUCUUGCAAAAUAACGUGCCUUAUAGAACGUAAGCAUAUAUAUAUUUCUCUUGUUUCAUGUGAAUUGUAAACAAACUAUCACAUUAACAUGAUGUUUAACAAUAUGAUAAAGGGCAGGAUAUGAUGCUUGGUGGGACUGACACAAUAUAUAUAUAUAUAUAUAUAUAUAUAUCAGUCCUGAUCUCUUGGACUACAGGGGUCCAAGAGAUCAUGACUGUAUAUAUAUAUAAAGCAAAAGGCAGAGAAUGAUGAAACAUUCAAAAUACUAGAAAAUACCCUUGAUUAAUUCAAACAUUAAGAAUUAAAAUUAUUAAUUAAAUGAGGAUAUUAAGGUAAAUUCACAUUUUUUCAUAUUAAAAAAAUUUAAAAUUUAAAACAAAAUCAGAUAAUAGGUCCUAUUUUAAUGGAACAUAACUACCCAUAUUAUCUUUUUCUUAAUUCUAAAAAUAAAAUAAAAAUAAAAAAGAAAACCAAUUGGCACACGCAUGAGGGGCUAGUAUAUAUUAAAAUAAUGCUUGUGGCCCCUCACAGUAAAGAGGAUAAUGGAUUUACGUUUCCCCCCUCCAACUAAAAGGUUAUUUUCUUAGCAAAAAGGCUAAGUUACUCUUGGAUCCAACCAACAUAAUUAAUAAAAAAAAUUAAAAGAAACAGCCAAUCAACUCUUUCUUUCACAAUUAUAUUUAAAAAAAUAGAAAAUCAAAGAUAACCGGUUAUCUAUUUAUUUAUUUAAUUAUUUACAAGCUUAACACUAAAAAAGGAAUUAAUUCUAAACCCUAGUAUAUUGACCCCCACAUAUAAAAUCUUGGCUCUACCACAUCUCAUGCAUUGAACUUAUUAAUGCCAUCGAUCCCAAUGCUACAUAAAUUGUAAUACCUUAUAUAUCUGCAUCAACAUAAGUCUGAGUGUAUUUUAUUUGAUUAAGCGUUUUUAAAAUGGAGGCAUAUCGAUCCAAGCACGUGGGAAUCGUAAAUGUGGCCUCGCUAUACAGAAACAAUUUUUUUUUUUGAAUAAAUGAAUUAAAAAUUUCGAAUUUAUAUACACACGAUUUCCAUAUAGAUAGAUAAGAACAUAGAUAUCUAUCGAUGUUGAUAUUGGUUGACAUGGGUAUGAUCCUAAUUUUAAUAAAUAAAUAAAUAAAUAAAUAAAUAAUAAUAUACAAAUAAUGCCAGAAAUAUUUACGUAGCCGAUCUAGCUAACGUCCACCAAACUUUUAGAUAUUGACCAAAACUAUUUGGCACUUGUGAUUAUUAUUCGUCUUUUCCUAGAAAGUCUUGUCUGAAUCAUUAAAACCAUUUCUGCCUCAAAUUCCUGCCGUUUUCUUCUGGAUAUAUAGCACUUAUCUGAAAAUUUUAGAUAUUGACCAAAACUAUUUGGCACUUGCAUGCACAAACACGUGGUCUAAAUUACAACCACUGCAUUGAGUCAAUUGUACGCUGGAUAUUCACUAGCACCACACAGAGUCCUUCCCUUCACACAAAACUCAAAAACCAAUUUGAAGCUUACCAUGAAUUCGUUCCAAACUAGUACCAGAAAUGAUGAGAGUUGGCUUCUUCUCUACACUUUCUCAGCCAUUUUCGCAACCAUCUGGUGUGCAUGGCUGUGCAUGAAAAAGUCCAGCAACAAAAUCCCACCUUUGCCCCCAGGCCCAUUGGGCAUGCCCUUACUCGGUAACCUUCUCUCUCUCUCCCCAGAACUAAACUCCUACUUCGCCGGCCUGGCCCACACCUAUGGCCCAAUCUUCAAGCUCCGCCUCGGCGCCAUGACCUGCGUCGUCAUCAAUUCCCCUUCCUCCGCCCGCGAGGUCCUCAAAGACCGUGACGUCACCUUCGCUAACCGUGACGUUCCCGUAGCGGCCCGAAUCGCCUUCUACGGAGGGGCCGACGUCGUAUGGAGCCCGCACGGGCCAGAGUGGCGGAUGCUGAGAAAAGUCUGCGUGCUGAAGAUGCUCGGCGGAGCCGCGCUGGACUCGUUCCAAUCGAUCCGCCAAAACCAGGUCCGAAAGACAGUCGGGUACUUGUACGGUCGGGCCGGGUCGCCCGUAAACGUGGGCGAGCAGAUCUUCCUGACGUCGCUUAACGUCAUCUCUAACAUGAUAUGUGGCGGCUGCAUCGCGGCAGAGGACGGGAAGGAGAGGGCCGGGCUCGGGGCGGAGUUUCGGAAAGUAGUGUCGGACAUGAUGGAGCUCGUAAGUCGGCCCAAUGUUUCGGAUUUUUUUCCGGGUUUGGGUCGGUUCGAUUUGCAGGGUAUAAAGAAGCAGAUGGAGGGGCUGGUGCGGAGGUUUGAUCGGAUAUUUGAGCAGAUGAUUGAUCAACGGCUGAAGAUGGAGGAGGAUGGCGCGAAAGAGAGUCAAGAUUUUUUGACUUUUUUGUUGAAAUUGAAAGAGGAGGGAGGAGAUUCCAAGACGCCUCUGACCAUGACUCACAUCAAAGCUCUGCUCAUGGUAUGUGAACUACUAUUCUUCAAAACUUGAUUU
This 25815-nucleotide long non-coding RNA is filed under the name Prunus persica (peach). Its description in RNAcentral is "long non-coding RNA (PPER_LNC005397)". The record is from RNAcentral. Lineage: Eukaryota; Viridiplantae; Streptophyta; Magnoliopsida; Rosales; Rosaceae.